This 465-nucleotide ribosomal RNA is filed under the name Vreelandella stevensii. RNAcentral's name for it is "partial 16S ribosomal RNA". It matches the Rfam family "Bacterial small subunit ribosomal RNA", at positions 338 to 795 of the family's 1533-position model. Lineage: Bacteria; Pseudomonadati; Pseudomonadota; Gammaproteobacteria; Oceanospirillales; Halomonadaceae. The record is from RNAcentral.
CCUACGGCGGGCAGCAGUGGGGAAUAUUGGACAAUGGGCGAAAGCCUGAUCCAGCCAUGCCGCGUGUGUGAAGAAGGCCUUCGGGUUGUAAAGCACUUUCAGUGGGGAAGAAAGCCUUGGGGCUAAUACCCUCGAGGAAGGACAUCACCCACAGAAGAAGCACCGGCUAACUCCGUGCCAGCAGCCGCGGUAAUACGGAGGGUGCGAGCGUUAAUCGGAAUUACUGGGCGUAAAGCGCGCGUAGGCGGUCUGAUAAGCCGGUUGUGAAAGCCCCGGGCUCAACCUGGGAACGGCAUCCGGAACUGUCAGGCUAGAGUGCAGGAGAGGAAGGUAGAAUUCCCGGUGUAGCAGUGAAAUGCGUAGAGAUCGGGAGGAAUACCAGUGGCGAAGGCGGCCUUCUGGACUGACACUGACGCUGAGGUGCGAAAGCGUGGGUAGCAAACAGGAUUAGAUACCCGAGUAGUC